RNAcentral lists this ribosomal RNA (301 nucleotides) under uncultured bacterium. RNAcentral's name for it is "partial 16S ribosomal RNA". It matches the Rfam family "Bacterial small subunit ribosomal RNA", at positions 509 to 809 of the family's 1533-position model. The record is from RNAcentral.
CAGCAGCCGCGGUAAUACAGAGGGUGCGAGCGUUAAUCGGAUUUACUGGGCGUAAAGCGUGCGUAGGCGGCUAAUUGAGUCGGAUGUGAAAUCCCCGAGCUUAACUUGGGAAUUGCAUUCGAUACUGGUUAGCUAGAGUGUGGGAGAGGAUGGUAGAAUUCCAGGUGUAGCGGUGAAAUGCGUAGAGAUCUGGAGGAAUACCGAUGGCGAAGGCAGCCAUCUGGCCUAACACUGACGCUGAGGUACGAAAGCAUGGGGAGCAAACAGGAUUAGAUACCCCGGUAGUCCCUGUCUCUUAUAU